RNAcentral lists this ribosomal RNA (1967 nucleotides) under Placozoan sp. BZ10101. Lineage: Eukaryota; Metazoa; Placozoa. The record is from RNAcentral.
CAUAGUUUUCAGCUAUUAACGCAAAAGCUUCGUAUUGAAAAUGAUGCCUGCCCAAUGAUUGUAUCUGAAAGGAAAGAAGGGGGGGGGCGCCGGUCGUAGGCGCCCCCCUGAGUGCUUAGCUUUCUAUAAGGACAAUUGAAUGGCCGCGGUAACUCUGACCGUGAUAAUGUAGCGAAAUCACUAGCCAGUUAAUUGCUGGCCUGUAUGAAUGGCUAAACGAGGGCUCCACUGUCUCAAUAAUAAACCUAGUGAAAUUGAAAUAACAGUGAAGAUGCUGUUUAGGAAUUCUAAGACGAGAAGACCCCAUUGAGCUUUACUAUUAACUUGUAUUGCCAGAGCAAUAAAGGGAACCCCAAAGGUUCCCGGGAUCCAACGGAUCCCUUAGGUACCCUGUCCUUUGCUUCAUAAUAAAAUUGUGAAGACUAAGUGGAAAAAGAUAAAACAAGGGAUUAAAAAAAACGGGUCUCUGGGCCCCGGCUCUCAAAAGGCCCCUUGGCUUCUUGUCCCAAUUUAUAUGAAAAACCACUCUUUUUAUUAAGAUUACUGUCUAAAACCGUACAAGUAAGAUAGUUUGGUUGGGGCGACCGCCUUCGAAAAAGUAUCGAAGGCGCACAUAAGAUUAGUCCGGAGGGGGGUCCUACGAAUCCCCCUCCCGGGGGCAAUGCCCCAAAAAAGAUUAGUUUGACUGAAAGGGCUACAACCCGAACAGGCGCCGGGGGAUCCGGGGGCGCGCCAUGGGCGCGCCCCCGGAUCCCCCUUUAGGCGGGUCAUAGUGAUCCGUUGUUAUAUUGUGGGAUUGACAACGAUCAACGAAGAAAAGUUACCAUGGGGAUAACAGCGUAAUAUCGUUUAAGAGUACCUAUCGCUGACGAUGUUUGCGACCUCGAUGUUGAAUUGUGAUAUCCUGGAGGUGCAGCAGCUUCCAAGGGUUGGACUGUUCGUCCAUUAAAAUCAUACAUGAUUUGAGUUCUGUGCGACGAGAAGUCAUAUAUCACAAUGCAGUGAAAUUCUGCUACUCUUUACCUCUUGAGGUAAAUCUAUUACCGGACCAGAAAUUGAAAAAUUUUUGUUCUUAGCAGGUAAGACAAUGUAAACUUUUAAAAAGUUGCUAGGUUAGCACUCUAUGGCUAAUGAAAGGGAAUCUGUGUAAGCCCCAUGAGUAAGCCAAAUUAUUGGACUCUUAAUUUGGCAAGAGGGUAAAUUGCUUUUGGAGUAUAGCAGGAGCCUAAGGAGAGCGUAAUGUGUGAUAUAUGAAACUCGGUAAACCUGAUAAUCGGACCCAUCGUUUGGGGGUCCUUUUUCGUCUUAUAGUAACAAAUGGACGUAAUGAUUAGCAGGUAAAAGAUUGCUUAAAAAGCAAAUGCCAUUUUGGAAUUAGGUGAAUAGCAUGUAAGGCCCUAAAAGGGCUUGAAUUAAUUGUAAAUUGAAAGGUUACUGACUUAAGCAAACCAUUGAAUUGUGAACUGAGUUCGUCGGAACGACCGACGUUCCGACACCAAAAAAAACGGCGGGGCCGCGCCGUAGGCGCGCUAGCCAGCCAGCCAGCCAGCCAGCCAGCCAGCCUACCCCCCCGGGGUCCUUCCUACGGAUCCCUAUAGUAUGAGGGGUAAAGAGGGAUCCAACGGAUCCGGCAAAGGAAUUCGCUUAUAAUUGCUUUUAAAAUUAAAAAUUUGGUGAUUAAGACAAUAAAUGGUGUGAGCCGUAUGACAGGAAACUGUCCCGUACGGUUCUGGGGGUAUACAGGGAAUCCGAUGGAUUCCCCCGAGUGCCCCAGUAGACCGGCGUGAGCCAGGUCGGUUUCUAUCUAGAAUUCAAAAAUAAACAAAGACCAGUUUACCUUCUAGUACGAAAGGAUCGAAGGGUUUAUAUCCUCUGGUGAUUCAAUCCGAACACGAGAUCUUAGAAGGUCUUUUGGGGGAUUUUUUGGUUCCCGUUGUUGAGUAGCUACGAUAUAAAGAAUAAUUGCU